GAGCUUUCUUAUAUCCUCCUUAAUCACAGUCAUAUGGUAGGCUUCUUUUUCAAGCAAGCAGGAAGGGGAAGGAGCGAUGGCCAUGGAAAUGUGUAGUGUGUGCCGAAGUUCUGCAGGCGAGCUGCUGCGUCUGGUUUAAAGUGUGUUUGAAGGUGAACCACAGCAGUCUUGUUCCAAGGAUGCAAGGGACAUUGAAGGAUUCUGAAGGCUUCGCUGGCAAGACUCCUCAGAGGAUCUGAGAGAGGCGGGAGCAGAAAAGGCUGUUCAGUGAAAUCAGGAAGGGACCGAAAGAAAUAGGAGAUUGGAAACCACAAGCAAAUCAGAGCUGCCGCUUCUGCAAUGAACUGGCUAGAUGAACCAAACUGGCAGCUUCAUGUUUCUUUGCUCAUGCUCCUCUCCGUGCACACCAGGGCCAGUUUCCUAGACAACAGACCCUUACGUAGUUCUGGGAAAGUGAACAUGGAAACAAGGAAGGAAGAUGGUGGAAGCACAGCAGCUGCUCCCCCACAGAAGAUGCUGUUAUGCUACUGUUAUCAUCACUGUCCUGAAGAGUCAAGCAACAAUACCUGCAAAACGGAUGGCUAUUGUUUUGCUAUGAUAGAAGAUGAGGACUCUGGAGGGCAGACUCUUACCUCAGGCUGUCUAGGGUUAGAGGGCUCCGACUUCCAGUGUCGGGACACUCCAGUGUCUCACCCACGAAGAUUAAUUGAAUGCUGCACGGAUCAAGAUUUCUGUAACAAAGAUCUUCACCCUACUCUGCCACCCCUAAAAAAUCAAGAUUUUGCAGAGGGAAAUGUCCACCACAAGGUCUUGCUGAUUUCAGUGACUGUCUGUAGCAUACUUCUCCUCUUUAUCAUCCUGUUCUGCUACUUCAGGUAUAAAAGGCAAGAGAGCCGGCCUCGUUACAGCAUUGGACUGGAGCAAGACGAGACUUAUAUUCCACCGGGAGAAUCCUUGAAAGACCUCAUUGAACAGUCUCAGAGCUCAGGAAGUGGAUCUGGACUCCCUCUGCUGGUACAAAGGACUAUCGCAAAGCAGAUUCAGAUGGUGAAGCAGAUUGGCAAAGGUCGUUAUGGAGAAGUCUGGAUGGGGAAGUGGCGUGGGGAAAAGGUGGCUGUCAAAGUGUUCUUUACCACGGAGGAAGCCAGUUGGUUUCGAGAGACAGAGAUCUACCAAACUGUCCUGAUGAGACAUGAAAACAUUUUGGGGUUUAUUGCUGCUGACAUUAAAGGUACAGGAUCUUGGACUCAGUUGUAUCUGAUCACAGAUUACCAUGAGAAUGGCUCCCUGUAUGACUAUUUGAAAUCCACUACCUUAGAUACAAAAGCCAUGCUGAAGCUGGCAUAUUCGUCAGUCAGCGGAUUGUGCCACUUGCACACUGAGAUUUUCAGCACUCAGGGCAAACCAGCUAUUGCUCACCGGGACCUCAAAAGUAAAAAUAUUUUGGUGAAGAAGAAUGGAACUUGUUGUAUAGCAGACCUGGGCUUGGCAGUUAAAUUUAUAAGUGAUACAAACGAGGUGGACAUCCCACCAAAUACUAGAGUGGGGACUAAACGUUAUAUGCCUCCUGAGGUUUUGGAUGAAAGCCUGAAUCGGAAUCAUUUCCAGUCAUACAUAAUGGCUGACAUGUACAGUUUUGGGCUCAUCCUUUGGGAAGUAGCAAGAAGAUGUGUUUCAGGAGGUAUUGUUGAAGAAUACCAGCUUCCAUAUCAUGACCUCGUGCCUAGUGACCCUUCCUAUGAAGACAUGAGGGAAAUUGUAUGUAUGAAGAAGUUACGGCCUUCAUUUCCCAACAGGUGGAGCAGUGAUGAGUGCUUAAGGCAGAUGGGCAAACUCAUGACGGAAUGCUGGGCUCACAACCCCGCUUCCCGGCUCACAGCUCUGCGAGUAAAGAAAACACUUGCCAAAAUGUCAGAGUCACAGGACAUUAAACUCUGAUUCAGAUGACAAAAGGCACCUCUUUUGCUAAAGCUCAUAAAAAUGGACUUUCCUUCAUGUUUCCAAGAGACAGGAAGAGGAAUGACAAGCCUUUGUUAAUAUCAACCUUGAAUGCAGUCCUUCAUCCAAAAGCCUCUGUAUGGUGACACAGAAAGCUUUUCUGGAGCUCCAAGAAGGAUCGUACCAACACCUGCUUCAAGAUGAUGCAUGCUGCUUUCUAUGGAAGCCCAUAAUAAUAUUAUUAUUAUGACUAUUAUUAUUUGGAUUGUUUAAAUUUUAUGAAAAUGAACCUUCGAAAUACAAAAGUACAAAAAGAAUUAUAUUGUUACAUUAAAAGGGGAGAAUCAAAAGAAAUCUCAUCUGAAGUUUAAAGCAAAGUGGCAAUUAUUUCCCAUUGAGUUAUUGCACUCCACAACAAAGUACCUGCUGUGUUCUGAAAUGAAAGGAAGGUACAAUAGAAACAGGCUUACCUGCUAGUUGCAUUUGAUGUAAAUUUGAUGCAUUUGAUGUAAAUUGUAUCCAAAGUUAUGUGAGUUGCUGUUAAGCAGUAUGGCUCAUACAGUCUUGCUCUGCUGAUGUCCCCUGUGCAUUAGACUCUUCAAACUAAUGGCUGUACCUUUGGAGCACCCUCAGUCAGUUCCAGGGUUCUUGUGCAGGAGAUGUGCUGCCCAGGGGGAUAUGGCCAGAGCCUGGCAUUCUCAGAUCUUUAAAGCCGCGGACCAGCAGGGGGAGGUAAAAUGUCAGGAAGAUAAUUAAAACAUGAAGUAAGCGUCAAUAUUUUCAAAAAUACACACUCCUUCCCGUUUGUUAUUCUCAUUCCUGUUUGUUUUAAAGAAGAGUUUUUGUGAGUUAUUGCAGAAGGAGCAUCAUGUUUUCAAUAGCUUGCUUCAUUUUUGCUCUUGCCCAGAUUCCUACUGAGUUUCUAGAAAGAGGAGAACCUACCUGAACUUUAAAAAAAAUAUUCUUAUAUUAUUUUCUAAACAAAUUGGUAUAUUGUUGAUUUAUCUCUCUGUAAUUGUAUUCAUAGACACACCCUAUUAUUUGGGCUGGAAUCCCGAGAAUUGUAAGGAUGUUUCUCUGCACGCACCUAAUACUUUUUUUGGAGGGGGGGGUUCCCUUCCUUCAGCAGCCCCCAUGCUUCCAAAUGGCUACGCAUGAGUGGUACACAAGUCUGAAGCUUGAAGGAAAAGUCCAAAAGGCACACAUAUGGGGCUGUUUUGGUUCCCACUUGCUUGAGAAUCUCCUGUGCCAUCAUUGAUAAUUCUUUCUUGAGGAUCUUGUGUUUUUUCUGAUAUAAAGUUGCCCAGUUAAAAAUAUGCCUGUAAAGUACAAGCCCUACCCCAGUUAUAUUGAAAUUGCAAUAUUUUUUUAACGUAUUUCUGAAAUGAACAUGCGUGGCUAACCAUGCUAGAAGGUUUUUUUAGUAUGUCUAGAAUUUUUGGUGUAAAGUCCACCAGAUUGGCUGUUGAGCAGUUUUGGUGCUCACAUUGGACUGGGGUCGAGAAUGUGAACUGGGGUCCAAGUGUAAACAGGGUUGGAAAGAUGAGGUUUUGAAAAGGGAACAUUCUUAUUUGAGGGACCUUUUGUAAUGACUGUUAUGCCUCUAGGGGUCACUGUGCGGCUUCUGAUUCUGAAAGUUCUGGUGUCUGUAGAGAAAGAAGAGAAAAAGCUGCAGGUUAGAUUCCAGAAGUAUAGCUAUCAGGCAUUCUCCCCUGCUUUGCAAAGUUAGUGGACAUCAAAGGUUUAAAAAUAUUGGGGAUAGAGCAGUGUGUAUGAAGUGAAACACUUUGGUGUGAUAAGCUGGAAGUGGGGGGAAUGUAAUUGGUAGUUAGAGCUUGUUUCAGACUCUGACUUCACAGAGGAAUACUGAUAUGUAUUGGAUGUUUGCUUACUCUAGUCUUUUACAGGGAAGACUUUGGGUGCUAGUAAGGCAUUUCUGUACCCUCUGGCAGCGGCCCUACGAUAAAGAUUUGUUCAAGAACAGUCAUGAACCUUCCCUCUGCUUGUGAAUCUGAAGAGACCUACAACUACAUUCAGUUAAGCAUGGGAGAAUCUCAUUGAUUUGGGGCUAAUAUAUAGGCUAUGCUGUGGGCAAUUUGACUGGUGAAGCUAUUAGUUGCUGCUACAUGUACAUUUCUGUUCCAAAGCAGAAGUCAAUCAUGCACAGAGCCAGCUUCUUCUUAAGAUACAUUCUCCUCCUCUUGGGUGCCUUACAUCUUAACAGCUAGUACCAUAAAUUCCCAGUGCUAUGAUUGGUGAUUAGCUAAUGGAGGCUAAGAAAAGCCCAAAGAGAUUUUGACCUGGCUGCGAUUGAAAACAAGAUGACCCAUUUAGGAUUUUGCUAUAUGAUAAAAGCAACAGAACAGAGUCAAUGAGUCAAAGCCUAUGCUGUACCAAACACAUGAAGUCAUGUUACCAAAAACUGUGGGCAUCCUCAGUUAUGUUGUCAUCAUCCUUUCCUUGCCAUAGAAAUUCCCUACUGUAUCUUCCUGUACCUUUGUAGUUCAGAUUUGAGAAGAACCAGAAAAAAAGAGAAACACCAGAAGGCACAGGUUUUGCCAAUUAUGAUAAGCUAAAAGAUGAUAUAUUCUGAGAUCCUCUCACUCUGAUUCUGGUUUCUGAGAAAACUGGUUCUUACCUGCAGGCAAUAUCUUCUUGGAAUAUGGUAAAAUGCGGAUAGUUUCAUGUUGCUGUUCAGUGCGUGAUAAAGCUUGCUUUCUGCUCGUCCAGUUUGCAGCUGAUAUUAACCAAGCCAUUUCAGCUUCUCAAAAGUGAUUUAGCAGUGGUGAAAUAAGUAGGUGAUGAAAAAUGAACUUGCAAUUAACCAGCUGGAAGAUUGCAUUGCCAUCAGCUGAACUGUGACAGGAAAUCAAAUUAAUCCACAUUUUACAUUCCAAGAAUUCUUCAGAGUCCUGAAAUCAUAAUUUCCCACAAAAAUAAGUAGGCACGUUAAACCAAAUCCUUUUUUUUGUUGUUGUUGUUAGAGGCCUGUGUAUUUUAGGCUUUCUGUUGUUAUAACUUGAGACAGUUUCUUCAGAGAACACAAAGCAAAGUUUCAAAAGGAUGAGAGUUUCUUCAGAACACAAAGCAAAGUUUCAAAAAGAUGGCCUUAUAGCUCCAAGUUUCUGAAUUUCCAUAUUAUUUCAAGAUGCAAAAGUGUUUCAUUUACAGCCACCAAAAUAAAGGCAAGAUGCCAGCUGGUAGGCCAUAUCACUUUUUCUUCUGUUCAGGCUUGCAUUUAAAAAAAAAUAUGUGUGCGUUUAUAGAGAUAUAAUUUUGAGUUGGGAGUCUGGAGCUACUCCAUUUAUAUGGAUUAAGGGUAAAAUAUUACAGAUGAUAAAGCACUAAAUAAAACCUAUUUAUUUGUGAAAACUUGUAGCUGACAAUUCACAAUGAUGGUGUGAUAUGGGGAAAAUGGGACAUUAGCAGUGAAAUGACAAGGGCAGAAUAAAAUCUUUUUGUUUGCUUCAGUUUUUAUAGAAAACUUGAAGGGUCAUUUUCUGUUUCUCUAACUAAACAAAAAGUUAUGCAUUGUGGAUAUCUGAAUGGACAGUCUGCAUUCACACAAAAAUCUGGUUGGUUCAUGACACAUGUGCUUCCUUCCUCCUCCUUUGACAUGCAGAGCUGAAGUGCAACUCUUUUUGCAUUCAGGGGAAUCUUUGUCUAACCACUAUUUGCAUUUACAUCUUAUUUGGACUGCAUGAAAAAAAAAUAUAUUGUAAGCCUUGUUUAGAAUCCUGGCUGGUAGACAAGGUACAACCAACUAGCAUUAAACCAUUGUUUAGAAUCUAAUUGUUGAGGUGAGAAAUAAACCCCAGUUUGUUAAAGUCAACCCAGUGCUGAUCUUGCAACAAGCUCUGGUUUCUUUCAUACCAGGUGAUUUUAAAUAGGUCCAUUUGCAAAAGAAAGAAGGAGGAAGCCUGCAAGUCUGGGAACCAACUAGGCUUACCAUGAACUAACUGCUGUUUGUGCAAUUUGAAUGCAGCUGCCGUCUCCAUCUGUGGUUUGGUUUUAGCACUAUUGUGUGACUUACCACAGUUCUACUCAUGCAGAUAGGCAAGCUCUUUUCCAGUUAACUGAUUUUCAUUCACAUUUGUGAGGGCCAGUUAAGUGAUGUCAUUUCCUGCUGGUUAUUAUGCUCAGAAUAAUGACCUGACACCCUACUUCAGACCAUCAAAGCACUGUCAAAGUUAAUGGUUAUACAUGGGUACUUUGGAAGAGAUCAUGUAACAGAAGUUUGAAAAAAGUUUUCAGGGGAAUGUAAAGCAAAACAUUUCUGUGAAUGGGAGGUAUGGUGAGAAGAGAAAGCUUCAAGAAGGAGGAUUAUCUGGCUACUAUUAGCCCUUUGCUAGCACAGCACAAGUUAUUUCUUUUGAAGAAAAGUUGGCAAUGUAAUUUUUUUUUAUUAUAAUGAUUUGUGUUCUUUUUUGAGAACCAGUGCCUUAUUCAAUCUGUAAAUAGUAUAACUGUAAAAACUAGGGAACAAGCCUAUGUUGUAAUUGUUGGAGAUGGUAUAUGUCUGUUUUAACAUUCCCCAAUAAAAUGUUUUCAGUUCCCCUUUAAAA
Molecule: RNA transcript, 6503 nt
Organism: Heteronotia binoei (common prickly gecko)
Lineage: Eukaryota; Metazoa; Chordata; Lepidosauria; Squamata; Gekkonidae
Gene: BMPR1B
Gene name: bone morphogenetic protein receptor type 1B
Exons: 14
Source: RefSeq, a predicted model, not a curated record